GGCAGCACCCAGUGGCGGUGUGAACUGUGAGGAAUUCACCGAGUUCCAGGAAUUACUCAAGGUGAUGAGGCCUAUCGAUGACAGAAUAGUACAUGAAUUAAACACUGUGGUUCCAACAGCUUCCUUUGCAGGGAAAAUUGAUGCCAGCCAAACCUGUAAACAACUUUAUGAGUCUUUGAUGGCAGCUCAUGCCAGUAGAGACAGAGUCCAAAAAAAUUGUAUAGCCCAGACUUCAGCAGUAGUAAAAAACCUCUGAGAAGAGAGAGAAAAGAAUUUGGACGAUUUAACGUUAUUAAAGCAACUUAGAAAAGAGCAGACAAAGUUGAAAUGGAUGCAGUCAGAACUGAAUGUUGAAGAAGUGGUAAAUGACAGGAGCUGGAAGGUGUUUAAUGAAUGCUGCUGAAUUCAUUUCAAGCCUCCAAAGAAUGAA
Molecule: long non-coding RNA, 430 nt
Filed under: Homo sapiens (human)
Lineage: Eukaryota; Metazoa; Chordata; Mammalia; Primates; Hominidae
Description: non-protein coding lnc-CIDEA-6:1
Source: RNAcentral